GAAGCAAUAUCGUAAACAUUUCCAAACUUAAGAUCACAUUGAACAAAUCGUGACUGUCAGUCAACGUUUAGGUCGCACCGUAUCCUUUUGAAUACAGGUCUAUUAAAAAAUGGAGCAAUUCCUUAUAGCCGUUACUUGGAGAGUAUGAAAAAGAAGAAAAGAAACAAAAACAGUGGUCUGUAGCAAUAUCGAACAUGUUUACGUAGAAAGUGAAAAUAGUAGCAGGGAAACACCAUGUUGCUGAACUCAGCACCAUCGGGCAUAUUUUUCCUGAUCUGGAGCUUCCGAAAGAAUUAAGGAAUUUUUAUAAGCAAAUAAUAGUUUUAAGAAGUUCUAACUCUCUCGCUUGAUCACCUUUUUCCACCAAUAAAAUUUCCUUUAGCAUAAAA
Long non-coding RNA from Dendroctonus ponderosae (mountain pine beetle), 389 nucleotides. RefSeq lists it as uncharacterized. NCBI's taxonomy places the organism in Eukaryota, Metazoa, Arthropoda, Insecta, Coleoptera, Curculionidae. The record is from RefSeq and is a predicted model, not a curated record. The transcript has 2 exons.